ACCAAUAUGUUAAAAACCCACUGACCAAUGUCCACCUUCCCACUUUCUCACGAAAACAUAACCUAUUUUCCCCUAUCUGAUUUCUCUCUUAUCUCUCGUUCUUAACCUCCAUGAUCCAUAUUCUACAUCUCAACUCUCCUCCAAUAGCUGAAUCAAUCCUCUCUUGUAUCGGAAAGUUUCUUCACUUUAACAAUAAUUCGGAACAAUCAGGGGUUAAAUUUUUUUAUUGUGCGUUCAUUUGGACUAAGUUGAAGCAAUCACUUAUUCCGGGCAUUUUUGUUGAGGUCCAGAAACGAAAAAUGGUAUGAGGGAUCUCAGAUAUAAGGGCUUCUUCAUUUUUUGCAAGAGGUGUGGUAGAAAUAGAAUAGGCCAUAAAAAAAACUUUUCUUGCACCACUUCGUGGGAAAAGACAAAAUCUUUGAUUGACAAAACCAUUACUCAGGCUUGUAAUUCAGAUGUCUCGGUUAUGUUUUAAAUUCAAAUGUCUCUCUAUACUCAAAUAGGCUGGUCGGUUUUGGUUUGAAGUCUCGGUUAUGAUUCAGUUCGAUUGGAUGAACCUCGAAUCCCCCGACCCCUGUGUGUCAAAUUCGCGAUGCCCAGUUGAAGAUUAUCGAGCGUCGUCGUGAUUCGAAUCAUGAUAAAGUGCUGGAGCAUCUGUUGGCUAAUUGAAUUAGGAACACAUUUUUGAGGCAAUGUAUUUGAUUUCAUAUUGCUUCACAGGUAACUAUAUUCAAGCAGCGUGCUAGUAGAUUGGCAUCCCUCAAUGCAAAGCUGAUUGGUUGUUUUCUCACUUCCAGAUUUUAAAAAAAAAUUGAAACUCUAUAUGUUAUUUUUCUUUCUGGCUAAAGUGAAGCUAUCCUUUUGUUUUGUAUCUGGGUUAAGGAUGAAGAGAACCUUUGAUUAAAAUUCAGUCUUCUAAUAAGAUUCUGAAACUUUGUAUGUUCAGUAGUAUAUUUUUAGGAUACAUUCGCUUGAUCUCCUGUAUUCAGUAGUUUUUUCCCCUCCUUUUCAAGGACUUAAAUUUUUGAACUUUGGUAGUUUGACGAGAGUUUUAGAUUGACAACAGUAAUUUCAACUAUGGCCUGUAUCCUUAAGGUAUCCUCUACCUUUGUGCUAGUUAGUAAUCUCUCCUGUAUGUUCCUUUUGUUUUUUUAGGAGUUCUUUCGGAAUUUUUUUGUUUUGGUUUUCAGAUUGUUUUGUUUUGGUUUUCAGAUUUGUGAGGAGUUGUUUCAGAUUGUUAUUUGUCAUUUCUUUUAAGUUUGUUGUAUUUUUUGGUAAUUAUUGUAAGACUAUGAUGUUUAUUGAAUAUAUGAAUUUGAUGGAUAGUUUAUUGGA
This is a long non-coding RNA of Beta vulgaris subsp. vulgaris (sugar beet), 1335 nucleotides long. RefSeq lists it as uncharacterized. The record is from RefSeq and is a predicted model, not a curated record. Lineage: Eukaryota; Viridiplantae; Streptophyta; Magnoliopsida; Caryophyllales; Amaranthaceae. The transcript is spliced from 2 exons.